CUGCUGCCUCCCGUAGGAGUCUGGGCCGUGUCUCAGUCCCAGUGUGGCCGUCCACCCUCUCAGGCCGGCUACUGAUCGUCGCCUUGGUAGGCCGUUACCCUGCCAACCAGCUAAUCAGACGCGGGCCCAUCCUGUACCACCGGGGUUUUUCCGCGCCGCGCCAUGCGGCACAGCGCGCUUAUGCGGUAUUAGCACCUGUUUCCAGGUGUUAUCCCCCAGUACAGGGCAGGUUGCCCACGCGUUACUCACCCGUCCG
This 256-nucleotide ribosomal RNA is filed under the name uncultured bacterium. RNAcentral describes it as "partial 16S ribosomal RNA". The record is from RNAcentral.